UGGAAAGUGCCAGUGUAUCCCACCAUUGUGU
This 31-nucleotide non-coding RNA is filed under the name Mus musculus (house mouse). The record is from RNAcentral. Lineage: Eukaryota; Metazoa; Chordata; Mammalia; Rodentia; Muridae.